RNAcentral lists this ribosomal RNA (459 nucleotides) under uncultured bacterium. RNAcentral's name for it is "partial 16S ribosomal RNA". It matches the Rfam family "Bacterial small subunit ribosomal RNA", at positions 338 to 795 of the family's 1533-position model. The record is from RNAcentral.
CCUACGGGUGGCAGCAGUGAGGAAUAUUGGUCAAUGGCCGGAAGGCUGAACCAGCCAAGCCGCGUGAAGGACGAAGGUGCCAAGCAUUGUAAACUUCUUUUGUCAAGGGACAAAAUCAGGCUCGAGAGCCUGACCGCGGGUACUUGAAGAAAAAGCAUCGGCUAAAUCCGUGCCAGCAGCCGCGCUAAUACGGAGUAUGCGAGCGUUAUCCGGAUUUAUUGGAUUUAAGGGGUGCGUAGGCGUACAGUUAAGUCAGCGGUAAAAGCCCGGGGCUCAACCCCGGCGGGCUGUUGAAACUGGCUGUCUUGAGAUGUCGAGAGGUAUGCGGAAUGCGCAGUUUAGCGGUGAAAUGCUUAGAUAUUGCGCAGAACUCCGAUUGCGAAGGCAGCAUACCGGCGGCGAUCUGACGCUGAGGCACGAAAGCGUGGGUAUCGAACAGGAUUAGAUACCCGUGUAGUC